RNAcentral lists this ribosomal RNA (252 nucleotides) under uncultured bacterium. RNAcentral describes it as "partial 16S ribosomal RNA". It matches the Rfam family "Bacterial small subunit ribosomal RNA", at positions 524 to 776 of the family's 1533-position model. The record is from RNAcentral.
UACGUAGGUCCCGAGCGUUGUCCGGAUUUAUUGGGCGUAAAGCGAGCGCAGGUGGUUUAUUAAGUCUGGUGUAAAAGGCAAUGGCUCAACCAUUGUAUGCAUUGGAAACUGGUAGACUUGAGUGCAGGAGAGGAGAGUGGAAUUCCAUGUGUAGCGGUGAAAUGCGUAGAUAUAUGGAGGAACACCGGUGGCGAAAGCGGCUCUCUGGCCUGUAACUGACACUGAGGCUCGAAAGCGUGGGGAGCAAACAGG